This 305-nucleotide ribosomal RNA is filed under the name uncultured bacterium. Its description in RNAcentral is "bacterial SSU rRNA". It matches the Rfam family "Bacterial small subunit ribosomal RNA", at positions 335 to 639 of the family's 1533-position model. The record is from RNAcentral.
CACCUACGGGGCGCAGCAGUGAGGAAUAUUGGUCAAUGGCCGGAAGGCUGAACCAGCCAAGCCGCGUGAGGGAGGAAGGCGCAGAGCGUCGCAGACCUCUUUUGCCGGGGGACAAAAGGCCGGACUCGUCCGGUCCUGAGGGUACCCGGAGAAAAAGCAUCGGCUAACUCCGUGCCAGCAGCCGCGGUAAUACGGAGGAUGCGAGCGUUAUCCGGAUUUAUUGGGUUUAAAGGGUGCGUAGGCGGUUUUUUAAGUUAGUGGUUAAACGUCGGGGCUUCACCUUGAUUUGCCAUUAAUACUGUAAG